Molecule: ribosomal RNA, 339 nt
Filed under: uncultured soil bacterium
Lineage: Bacteria
Description: bacterial SSU rRNA
Rfam family: Bacterial small subunit ribosomal RNA
Source: RNAcentral
AGGACGAACGCUGGCGGCGUGCCUAACACAUGCAAGUCGAACGGAGAUUUCAGCAAUGGAAUCUUAGUGGCGAACGGGUGAGUAACGCGUAGACAACCUACCGCUUAGAUGGGGACAACACUGCGAAAGUGGUGCUAAUACCGAAUGUUGUAGUGAGAAUGCAUAUUUUUACUACUAAAGAUGGCCUCUAUUUAUAAGCUAUCGCUAAGUGAUGGGUCUGCGUCUGAUUAGCUAGUUGGUGAGGUAAUGGCUCACCAAGGCGACGAUCAGUAGCCGGUCUGAGAGGAUGAACGGCCACACUGGGACUGAGACACGGCCCAGACUCCGUACGGGAGGCAG